Molecule: ribosomal RNA, 1105 nt
Filed under: Staphylococcus aureus
Lineage: Bacteria; Bacillati; Bacillota; Bacilli; Caryophanales; Staphylococcaceae
Description: bacterial SSU rRNA
Rfam family: Bacterial small subunit ribosomal RNA
Source: RNAcentral
UUUAUGGAGAGUUUGAUCCUGGCUCAGGAUGAACGCUGGCGGCGUGCCUAAUACAUGCAAGUCGAGCGAACGGACGAGAAGCUUGCUUCUCUGAUGUUAGCGGCGGACGGGUGAGUAACACGUGGAUAACCUACCUAUAAGACUGGGAUAACUUCGGGAAACCGGAGCUAAUACCGGAUAAUAUUUUGAACCGCAUGGUUCAAAAGUGAAAGACGGUCUUGCUGUCACUUAUAGAUGGAUCCGCGCUGCAUUAGCUAGUUGGUAAGGUAACGGCUUACCAAGGCAACGAUGCAUAGCCGACCUGAGAGGGUGAUCGGCCACACUGGAACUGAGACACGGUCCAGACUCCUACGGGAGGCAGCAGUAGGGAAUCUUCCGCAAUGGGCGAAAGCCUGACGGAGCAACGCCGCGUGAGUGAUGAAGGUCUUCGGAUCGUAAAACUCUGUUAUUAGGGAAGAACAUAUGUGUAAGUAACUGUGCACAUCUUGACGGUACCUAAUCAGAAAGCCACGGCUAACUACGUGCCAGCAGCCGCGGUAAUACGUAGGUGGCAAGCGUUAUCCGGAAUUAUUGGGCGUAAAGCGCGCGUAGGCGGUUUUUUAAGUCUGAUGUGAAAGCCCACGGCUCAACCGUGGAGGGUCAUUGGAAACUGGAAAACUUGAGUGCAGAAGAGGAAAGUGGAAUUCCAUGUGUAGCGGUGAAAUGCGCAGAGAUAUGGAGGAACACCAGUGGCGAAGGCGACUUUCUGGUCUGUAACUGACGCUGAUGUGCGAAAGCGUGGGGAUCAAACAGGAUUAGAUACCCUGGUAGUCCACGCCGUAAACGAUGAGUGCUAAGUGUUAGGGGGUUUCCGCCCCUUAGUGCUGCAGCUAACGCAUUAAGCACUCCGCCUGGGGAGUACGACCGCAAGGUUGAAACUCAAAGGAAUUGACGGGGACCCGCACAAGCGGUGGAGCAUGUGGUUUAAUUCGAAGCAACGCGAAGAACCUUACCAAAUCUUGACAUCCUUUGACAACUCUAGAGAUAGAGCCUUCCCCUUCGGGGGACAAAGUGACAGGUGGUGCAUGGUUGUCGUCAGCUCGUGUCGUGAGAUGUUGGGUUAAGU